CCUACGGGAGGCAGCAGUGGGGGAUAUUGCACAAUGGGGGAAACCCUGAUGCAGCGACGCCGCGUGGGCGAAGAAGUAUUUCGGUAUGUAAAGCCCUAUCAGCAGGGCAGAAGAAAUGACGGUACCUGAGUAAGCAGCACCGGCUAAAUACGUGCCAGCAGCCGCGGUAAUACGGAUGGUGCAAGCGUUAUCCGGAUUUACUGGUUGUAACGGAAGCACAGGCGGCACGGCGAGCCUGAUGUGAAAGCCCGCGGCCCAACCGCGGGACUGCAUUGGGAACUACCGGGCGGGAGUGCCGGAGAGGUAGGCGGAAUUCUUAGUGUAGCGGUGAAAUGCGUAGAUAUUAGGAGGAACACCAGUGGCGAAGGCGGCCUACUGGACGGUGACUGACGCUGAGGCUCGAAAGCGUGGGGAGCAAACAGGAUUAGAUACCCUUGUAGUC
Molecule: ribosomal RNA, 442 nt
Filed under: uncultured bacterium
Lineage: Bacteria
Description: partial 16S ribosomal RNA
Rfam family: Bacterial small subunit ribosomal RNA
Source: RNAcentral